RNAcentral lists this ribosomal RNA (137 nucleotides) under uncultured bacterium. RNAcentral's name for it is "partial 16S ribosomal RNA". The record is from RNAcentral.
CACGGAAGUUAGCCGGGGCUUCUUCUGUGGGUACCGUCAUUAUCUUCCCCACUGAAAAGAUCUUUACAACCCUAAGGCCUUCAUCGAUCACGCGGCAUGGCUAGAUCAGGGUUUCCCCCAUUGUCUAAGAUUCCCCA